This 2518-nucleotide ribosomal RNA is filed under the name Triticum aestivum (bread wheat). RNAcentral's name for it is "partial small subunit ribosomal RNA". The record is from RNAcentral. Lineage: Eukaryota; Viridiplantae; Streptophyta; Magnoliopsida; Poales; Poaceae.
UACCUCGAGCGGUACGAUCGGUAGGCGGGAGAGGAGAGCUUCGACCCCCUGGACGAGCGUCCGCUCAAGUGGGAACUCUUCGCACACUCCUUUCCGCAGCUCAGAGAAUCGUUCCUCUACAACGACUACGUCCAACGGGAACCGUUCCACCGCUUUCACGGCGGGCUCCUCGAGCUACUCCCCCAGUUCUAGACCCGUCCUUACCAUUCCCUGGACCGGAUGGUUUACCUUCUGUAGCACCUACAGAAGUAACACACACACCUACUAAAUAGACGGUUGGGUUUCUUAUCUCACUUCUUCAACGAAUUCUUCUGUCCGUUCAAUAAGUUCUUCCCGUUUCUAGAAGUAGCUUAGAGGCUACGAGAUCUUCUUCGUCAAUGAGUCCGAUUCGUCGACCGACUCAACACGGUUUCUACACUCUCUCGAACAGCCGUAACUUCUUGGUGCUCUGCUCAACUAGUUGUUCAAUGAAGUUCCACUACUAACCAGUUUCUUAGGCAACUUCUGUCAGAGACAACAACCUAAACCACCCAAUCCGUUCUGUUGGGAACGGUUUUGUACAUACUGUUCUAGUUUCACGUUAAACUAACAUCACGAAAACAAAGCCAAAGAACCUUAGGGUUGUACUUUUUUUAGAACUUCUUAUAGGAAAAACUCGAGCUGUUCUUUUACAUAAGUUUGUAUGUAUUAUGCAGUGCUCUUCUUUUAGUAGAGUAGCUGCUUGAGUAACUUAAAGAAUUACUGUUUUCCAUGGAGUAGCAUUAACUACUGUAUACCUUACUUUUACGCACAGUUAAUUAGUUCACGCGAAAGAGGUUCUUAUCAGAACCUUCAGCUCAUUAGUGCUGUUGGGCGUAGAAACCACAAAGGCUUCGUACAACGAGAAGACGACUACUAUAAAUAUCCUACUUUGGAGAAAGACUACUACAGAGUUCUUCCGAGAAAACUUCUCAUAAAAGAAGGUUAUUUCCUACAGGAGCACUUAACUACCUACAUAGAUUUGUGUAGAACUUCUUUACACCACCUUAUGAUAAUCGGCAAUAAUGAUAUCGUUCAGAAGAUCGAUUAUUGGUAGCCUACUUUUGUUUCCUGGUUACCUUGUGGUACGAGUUGAGGUAACCAGCACCUGAGUCUCUCCCAGCAUCACAUUAACUCUACUUCUUCUAUGAUAACAAGUCAAUAAUACUAGAUGGAAGAAUAGAAUUCGGUACAAAUAAUAUAGAUUCGUAGAAAGGUCUUCUAGUGCUCUAAUAAUCUCCGUUCGAUUAUAAUUUUACCUACAGGCUUCCUAAACACAUAUAACAUAUCACUUAUUCUUCUUUGAUCGAAUAUACUCGAGCCACUGAUCAUGAAGUUACUCGAUCAUUUAUCUUCAUACUAGGUCGGUUAUCCGGAACUAUUACUUCUUUUCCGUUUUCGAACAACACAUGUACUGUACCACGAUCUAGAGUAUACAAGUAAUCGUUCACUUCUCUUGAAACAGUGAUAUAGCCUACCGUGGUUCUCUUUUUAUGGAUUUAGCGUUUCGUUCCAGGCGUCUAACAGUUAGGUUUUAUCGUUGCAUCUACACCGAUGGUAGUCAUACUCUGUUCAUUCUAGAUAAUGACAAAAGUGCUUACUAUAACAAUUAGUUGACAUCUUUUAAAGUUCAAAAGUUCAACACGCACACAACCUAAAUCCUCUAACAGGAUAAGACCUAUGGUCCUGAAAAAACUUAAACUCCAUGGAUGCUGUAUUACCACUACCCCAAUUCCUGAAAGGCUACCUUUAACCUUUCGAUGUCAAAAACGUUCAGAACCUAUAAUCACCUUUUUCAUAUUUUCUUUACGGCGGUUCACAACAAGCCGAUUCUGCAGACUACAUGGAUACAUAGCCGGCCCCGCUUCGAGGGUAGACCCUAUCCAUUGAACUGAAGGGAUCUUCACGAUGAACCAGAUCUCCACCCGUUCAAAAGAAGCACACCAAAGUUAGUGGUAGAACACUUUCUCAACCCGGUGGACUGGUUCGACUCCCACGAGGCCAAAAACACCCGACUAAACCUACCCUCGUACACAUCUUGAAACCGGUUAAGGGAUUCAUUAGACGUGUCCAACCUUCAAGAUGUCUUAAUACAGUUUCCACCUACGCAACUAGAGUACGUGCAUCCGACCCAAGGGAGAGGUGUUUAGGCGUCUAAUGCCUAAUAACCAACGAGUAACAUCUGUGAUAGGCGUACCUAAUUAGGAAGUAACGAAGGCAAGUACAGGAUAGAUCGUUAUUGUCACUCACUUCACGCUAGCCUCCUGUGAGUUAAAGAACCCUACAACGCACGUGAAACAAUAGAGCUAGAUGCACAACUCCCGUUGAAGAGUCCUCUCUUAGUACACCACAUUUACAGACAACAGUGGUGACUACGUAAAGGUACACGCUGACUCACGAUGAAAGAUCCUUAACACAGAUGCGGUAGAUAUAAAGGCGUUCCUCGGCGCGGUUCCGAAUGCCUUGAAACGAAGCUGAAGGGUCGAUACACCUAGCCGGC